RNAcentral lists this ribosomal RNA (492 nucleotides) under uncultured bacterium. RNAcentral describes it as "partial 16S ribosomal RNA". It matches the Rfam family "Bacterial small subunit ribosomal RNA", at positions 30 to 507 of the family's 1533-position model. The record is from RNAcentral.
AUUGAACGCUGGCGGCAUGCCUAACACAUGCAAGUCGAACGGCAGCACAGUCUUCGCUCUCUCUUACGGUUGGCGACUGGCGGGUGAGUCAUGAAUACAUCCCCAUCUACUUUUUCUUGGCCGACAACGUAGGGAUUAUUACCCCAUUACCCCAUACGAUGUACGGGGGAAAGCAGGGGAUCUUCCGCUCUUGCGCGAUCCAAUGUGCCGAUGUCGGAUUAGCUAGUUGGCGGGGUAAAGGCCCACCAAGGCGACGAUCCGUAGCUGGUCUGAGAGGAUGAUCAGCCACACUGGAACUGAGACACGGUCCAGACUCCUACGGGAGGCAGCAGUGGGGAAUAUUGGACAAUGGGCGCAAGCCUGAUCCAGCCAUGCCGCGUGGGUGAAGAAGGCCUUCGGGUUGUAAAGCGCUUUUGUUGGGGAAGAAAAGCUGUGGGUUAAUACCCCGCUGUGAUGACGGUACCGAAAGAAUAAGCACCGGCUAACUACGUG